RNAcentral lists this ribosomal RNA (1371 nucleotides) under Triticum aestivum (bread wheat). RNAcentral describes it as "partial small subunit ribosomal RNA". Lineage: Eukaryota; Viridiplantae; Streptophyta; Magnoliopsida; Poales; Poaceae. The record is from RNAcentral.
AUGGCCGGCGCCGCGCCUCACGUCAUGGUGCUGCCGUUCCCGGCGCAGGGCCACGUCACGCCGUUCAUGGAGCUGUCGCACCGCCUCGUCGACCGCGGCUUCCAGGUCACCUUCGUCUGCACCGAGCUCAUCCACGCGCUCCUCCUCGACACCGGCACCAGCGGCGACGCGCUGUGCGGCAUCCGCCUCGUCUCCAUACCGGACGGCAUGGCCGACGGCGACGACCGCAGGGACCUCUCCAAGUUCGUGGGCGCCAUCACGCGGUACGUGCCGGGCUACGUGGAGGACCUCAUCAGGGAGACGGCUGCGUCCGGGGAGAAGGAGGUCAAGUGGCUCCUCGCCGACGUCAACCUGGGGUUCUGCUACCAGGGCGCCAAGAACCUCGGCGUCCGGGUGGCUGCCGUCUGGCCGGCGGCCGCCGCGAGUCUCGGGAUGUGGUCCAGCAUUCCCAAGAUGAUAGAGGAUGGCUUCAUCGAUGACAAGGGCAUGGCAAAGCGAGAGGGGAUAUAUGAGAUCGCCCCCAAGAUGCCGCCGAUCUGCAUGUCACGCAUGCCGUGGUGCAUCGACGGCCCACCCGAGGGGCAGCAGCUGGUCUUCAAGCUCGUGGUCACCGACAACGCCCAAGCGACCAGCCUCGCCGAGAUCGUCGUGUGCAACUCGUUCCUCGACGCCGAGGCAGCGGCGUUCGGGAUGUUCCCGGAGAUACUGCCCAUCGGCCCGCUGUUCGCCGAUCAGGAGCUUCGGAAGCCCGUCGGGCAGUUCUGGCCGGAAGACGUCAGCUGCCUGGAGUGGCUCGACGCGCAGUCCGAAGGCUCCGUCGUGUACGUGGCGUUCGGCAGCUUCACCAUCUUCGACCCGCGGCAGUUCCGAGAGCUCGCCGAAGGGCUGGAGCUCACCGGCCGGCCGUUCCUGUGGGUGGUGCGCCCGGACUUCACCUCCGACGUCCUCGGCAAGGCGUGGUUCGACGAGUUCCAGAGCCGCAUCGCUGACAAGGGCAUGAUCGUCAGCUGGUGCCCCCAGCAGAAGGUUCUGGCGCAUCCCGCCGUGGCGUGCUUCGUGUCGCACUGCGGGUGGAACUCGACGAUGGAGGGGGUGAGGAAUGGCGUGCCCAUCCUGUGCUGGCCCUACUUCGCCGACCAGUUCACGAACCGGAGCUACAUUUGCGACAUCUGGAGGACCGGCUUGGCCGUGACGCUCGGAGAUGGAGUCGUGACGAAGGAGGAGGUGAAGAGCAAACUUGAGCAGGUCAUCGGCGACGAGGGAAUCGCGGAGAGGGUAGCGAUGCUCAGGGAUGCAGCUCGUAGGAACAUUGGCGAGGGCGGGUCCUCGUAUGAGAAUUUCCAGAGAUUUGUUACCCUCCUAAACGAGUGA